This 203-nucleotide microRNA precursor is filed under the name Oryza nivara. RNAcentral's name for it is "MIR812 microRNA precursor family". It matches the Rfam family "MIR812 microRNA precursor family". The record is from Rfam by way of RNAcentral. Lineage: Eukaryota; Viridiplantae; Streptophyta; Magnoliopsida; Poales; Poaceae.
AAAAAGACAAACCCUGCUUUCCAUGUCCAACAUUUAACCGUCCGUCUUAUUUAAAAAAAUUAUGAAAAAAUUAAAAAGACAAGUCACGUAUAAAAUAUUAAUCAUGUUUUAUCAUUUAACAAUAAUAAAAAUAGAAAUUAUAAAAAAAUUUUAUAUAAGACGAACAGUUAAAGUUGAAAAAAAAACCUAGGGUUUGUCUUUUU